AAAGGCAGAUUAUUUAUUUACAUGCAAACGCACAAGAAUCUUAAUACAAGAUCGCUAUAUAUGCUAUGAUCAAUGCGUUAUAAUCAAUUUCUUGUAGGACAUGUUUGCUGGUGGAACGGAUACCACUUACACUGCUCUAGAAUGGGCACUGACAGAGCUUAUAAAGCAUAGCAAAACUAUGAAAAAGGUGCAGGAAGAGGUGAGACGGAUUGCUGGAAGCAAAUCUUACAUUAAUGAAGAUCAUAUAGAGAAAAUGUUUUACCUCAAGGCAGUGAUAAAGGAGACUUUACGACUACACCCUCCAGUUCCAUUGCUGCUUCCGCGACAAGCAACAAAAGAUGUCCAGGUAGGAGGCUACAACAUUCCUGCCAAAUCCAGAGUUAUUAUCAAUGCGUGGGCAAUAGGGAGAGAUCCUGCUUCAUGGGAAGAACCAGAGAAAUUUAAACCUGAGAGGUUCCUGGACAACUGUUCAAGUUUCAAAGGGAAUGAUUUUCAGUUCAUUCCUUUCGGAGCUGGUAGAAGGGGGUGUCCUGGAGCUACAUUUGCUAUUGCAAUUGUUGAGCUUGUAUUGUCAAAUCUAUUGUACAAGUUUG
RNAcentral lists this long non-coding RNA (593 nucleotides) under Citrus maxima (pomelo). Its description in RNAcentral is "long non-coding RNA (CMAX_LNC002094)". Lineage: Eukaryota; Viridiplantae; Streptophyta; Magnoliopsida; Sapindales; Rutaceae. The record is from RNAcentral.